CCUUACCAAACGUAGGAUUAUAAUUCUACUUAAGCCAAUCCAAGCUAGUCCCACUUAAGGAGGUGUAACAAACGCCCCUUUAAAGGACUCAAAACAGCUUAAAACAACUAAAUAGACUCUACUAGACACUAGGAAUGACUUUGGAUGAAAAUUGAUUUUAACUUGACUCAAAACACUUAAAAACACAAACUAAGACAGAUUCUAACUAAUUUGACACACUAACGUAAAAGGGAUUGGUUUUUGGACAAAAUUAAAGUGAAUUAAAGACUUAAACAAAGUUGGACGAAUUUGGUGAAUUAAAUGGAUGAUGGGCUAGCUAGAGGGUCAUUCUCCACACAUGACACACUUGCAUACAAAUCAAUCACUAGUUACUUUUUCGAUAAACCAUGAAUGACAAUGCCCCAGAUUAACCAUGCCAUCACUAAUUAACCCUCAGAUUUUCCUUAAGUCAUUGAAUUGGAUGGGAUACGCAUCAUCAACCCAAAUCAUUCUUCAGUAGUCCCCUACAUGCAUAUUAUAAUAGAAAUACAAUCAAAGAUCAUUAAGCUCUAUGAAAAUCAUAAGCAUUGACAAAACAUUUGUAACUAUGACAUCAUGAUACUCAUGUUAGGAAUUUAACUUAAAGCGAUCGUGACCAGUGACCUUCACUACUUGUGAAUAUAAGUUUGUAACGAUUAUGUGAAACUCCCUUAUAUUCUAGCAUCAGAUUCAAGUAUACAAACUAAGUAGGCCUCCUUAAUCAACAUUCAAGAAUAAGUUUUGAAUAAAGCAGUUAAGCAAAUUGCGUUCACACUUUAUGAAAUCACAACUAGAAUUAGUCAAUUCAUACAGCUAAUAUGAUCAUGGUUUCAAAAUUCCCCCUAGCUAUAAGGGGUUUAGGUCCUCAUGUUCACAAAACAAAGAUAAUUAAACUUAAACAUUGAAAACAAAGAAUGAAAACACCUAAAAACGCUCCAACAAUCCAAUCUUGAAUGGAAAGCGCGUCCAAAGGUCAUCCUUCUUCUUCUUUGCUGCGGCACAAGGUGUAGGAUGAUGGAUGAGUGGUGAAUUGUGGUGGUGGAUGGAUGUAGGUGAGUUAUGGUGAAGGAUGGAUUGAUGGGAUCUUUUUGCGGCAAAGAAAGAGAUUUUAUAUUUAUAGGGUGAAUGGACAUGGCUUGGUUUAAGAAAGAAUUAAAACUUAGCUAUUAUAGUUCCACAAUAAAAAAGGAUAAGUAACAAUCUGAAAUUAAUAGGAAAUAGGAAAGGGAUGUGCGGCAGAGAAAGGGAAAGAAAAGGGAAGGUUAUCCCUUGUGCGGCAAGGAAAAGGAAAGGGAAAAGGGAGGUGCGGCAUCCCUCUUUGACUAGGAUUAAUCUUCCAAAAUCUUGUAAUUAAAUGUCCUACUAUCUUUAGGAAGCCUCCUUGUGGCUGGGACCUUGGUAGAUUAGGAUUGGGAUUUGACUAAGUCAAAAUAAGGUAGUUUGACUAGUCAAUCCUUUUUAUUGCUGGAUUCCUUGUCCUCCUUUGUCUUGAAUUUAUUUUCUUCUUUUCUUUGGCACAUUCCUUUGGUCUUCAAUUUCGUCCAACCACUUUGCUCUAAGCAUAUGCUAUCCAUUCCAUGCCCAAAACUGCUCCAAAAGGCACCAAAAUGCACUUUCUUGCCACUUUAGCUCUUUAGACCUGAAAACACAUGAAAAUAGCUUAAAAGACUAAAAUAACUAGGAACUAACAACAAAAAUGCACGAAAACAAGCUAACUAAGUCGCAUAAAUAUGCUCCUAUCAAAUUGGACAUAUUGAUUGGCUAGCCGCUUAUGUACUCGAAUCGACUACUAGGUGCAGCCACCUACCUAGCAACGUCCCAUACUUUUUUGGACAACAACAUCCGUUAGAUUAUUUUAUCCUUCCAACCAUGUUUGCAACGCGUAUAUGCAAUCUAGUCACGUUUGCUAGAUCAAAGAAAACGUCUGGUAACACUAUGAUGUUCUAAAAUAGGGAUCGAGAUGAGACAUAGUGGGGACGUCCAUGAUAAUUCUUUUGGAAUGUUGACGUUCUUAUCUCCCACUAACGGUGGGAAGACUUUCUCAUUGAAGUGAUAAUUUGCUUAGCUAUGCAGUAAAAAGAUCGUGUGCAAGGGCUUAGGAGAACCAUAAUCGACAUUGAUUCACAUGCUUUUUGUGAGCACCAAUAAUGGUACAUUGCAGUGGCGCAAUUUGCACAUAAAGUGUACACCUAAAACACGCAAGUACGAAACUUCAAAAUUGUACCUAGUUGCCAACAGUAAAGCUAAAAAUAGGAUUAGGUGGCAUGGGCCUCAGGCGGACGAACAUAACUAACAUAGCCCUAUGCAGAAAACCAAAAGCUUGGUGAGCUCAUUACUAAGUGUCCGUACGAUCAUAUAAAGGCGUUUAAUGAUCGCUUUCUACGAGACUGUUUGAGUGUGAUCAUAGGGAAUCGAUCUGUUCAACUUAUGCACCCAAGGGAAAAUGUAAUAAUCAUCGGAUUGAUCGAUGUGAAGUUUUCGACAUUAUCUAGACUUCUAGACUCUGUAGAUAAUUAGGGUGGUGAGUCCGCAACCUAAUAAUUGGUGCUAAGAGUCUAGCGAAGCAGUAUUGGAUAUGCAAACAUAUGACCAAUGUGUCGAUAAGUCAACCAAAACCAUAAAUAUUUUACUAGUCCGCAUUUUGGUUGGAUUAGUCCACAAUUAAUCUCUUGAAUCCAUUAUAGAAAGGAUGGAGGAUCCGUGAAGAUGUUAUAGUAUAUAGCCGAGUAAUUGGCUUGCCUAUUAAUGAUCUUAGUAAUUGGGUCAUAGUUUGCCCAAUGAAGUUUGGUGAGCAUGCUUGGCAAGGUACUCUUUUAGGUACGAUGUCCUUACUUUUAGUAAGGGGAUGCCCUAUACGGUGCAUCACGGAUCAUCCUGGGAUGUCCCAGACGUUCAUGCCAUAACGAAAAUUCCUUUGGAAUCCCAGAUUUAUGGCUGGCCACAUAGUGGGCGAGAAUAGUUGUAAUUCAUUCAGUAGACGUUCCAUCUUCUCUAGAAUACACUUUUGGUUAUAUUCCUAGGAGGUACUAAGGAAUUUUACUCCAUUUUCUACAUUGGUUAUAAUAUGGUAAUAGUUUUCUCAAAUAUCUUUAAAGUGCAAAAGCAUUCUUCUGGAAUAUAGUGAGUAUAAGGCUUUCCUUAUGGUGAAAAAAAUAUUAGUAUCAUUGAACAAUAUGGUAUGGGUAAUGCCAUGCCCCCACAAUCAGUUUGGAUAAGCGUGAAAAGGUUGUCAAAGGUGAUUAGGUAUGAAGUUAACACGUAUAACCAGGCAUCUAACAUCCCCACAAAAUAUACCUAAGCAUGAGUUAAUUGGAUUCGUCACAAGUAUUAACUUCAUCAAUUAAAUCAUAUUUGAGAAUAAUGUUAUCCAAACACCAAACUUAAAUUCAGGAACAUAGAAAUAGUUCACAAAUUAAACCAAAUCUACUAGGGGGUUCGGCCAAUGUGGGAUUUUAUGUCAAAAUUUCGCUCUUCCAAACGUGUUAGGUGGAACAAAAUUAGUCUCACUAAUUAUGUGAAAUCUCGUUCUUGGAUUUCACUAUUGCAAACUACGUAUGUGUAUUAAGGAGUUAUUAUAUUAUUUUUGGAAUUUAUAUUAAUUGUAAAGUGUUGAGAUUGUGUAUUCAAAAGAUAUCAAGGUGAAAAAGCUACAAUUAAAAGUUGCCUCUAAUUAAUUAAGGAGGAAAGGUGGGAGAGAAAAAAAAAUUAGAGACUGUCGAAUGGCAGCAAAAAAAAUGAGGGAAAGUUUCAAGAAGAAAAAGGAGGGGAGAUGGUGGCGAAUCGGGAGAGGAGAGAGGAAGAAAAAUG
Molecule: long non-coding RNA, 3825 nt
Filed under: Malus domestica (apple)
Lineage: Eukaryota; Viridiplantae; Streptophyta; Magnoliopsida; Rosales; Rosaceae
Description: long non-coding RNA (MDOM_LNC014940)
Source: RNAcentral